RNAcentral lists this ribosomal RNA (474 nucleotides) under uncultured organism. RNAcentral's name for it is "partial 16S ribosomal RNA". It matches the Rfam family "Bacterial small subunit ribosomal RNA", at positions 335 to 800 of the family's 1533-position model. The record is from RNAcentral.
ACUCCUACGGGAGGCAGCAGUAGGGAAUCUUCGGCAAUGGGGGCAACCCUGACCGAGCAACGCCGCGUGAGUGAAGAAGGUUUUCGGAUCGUAAAGCUCUGUUGUAAGUCAAGAACGAGUGUGAGAGUGGAAAGUUCACACUGUGACGGUAGCUUACCAGAAAGGGACGGCUAACUACGUGCCAGCAGCCGCGGUAAUACGUAGGUCCCGAGCGUUGUCCGGAUUUAUUGGGCGUAAAGCGAGCGCAGGCGGUUUGAUAAGUCUGAAGUUAAAGGCUGUGGCUCAACCAUAGUUCGCUUUGGAAACUGUCAAACUUGAGUGCAGAAGGGGAGAGUGGAAUUCCAGGUGUAGCGGUGAAAUGCGUAGAUAUAUGGAGGAACACCGGUGGCGAAAGCGGCUCUCUGGUCUGUAACUGACGCUGAGGCUCGAAAGCGUGGGGAGCGAACAGGAUUAGAUACCCCAGUAGUCCCAUGA